GCUGGCGGCGUGCUUAACACAUGCAAGUCGAGUGCGCGCCUGUAGCAAUACAGGUGGCGCACGGCGCACGGGUGCGUAACACGUGGGUAACCUGCCCUUUAGUGGGGAAUAACCUCGCGAAAGCGAGGCUAAUUCCGCAUAAGAUCCGCAAGGAUGAAAGCCGUAAGGCGCUGAUGGAGGGGCCCGCGCACGAUUAGCUAGUUGGUAGGGUAAUGGCCUACCAAGGCUAUGAUCGUUAGCUGGUCUGAGAGGAUGGCCAGCCACACUGGAACUGAGACACGGUCCAGACUCCUACGGGAGGCAGCAGUGGGGAAUCUUGCACAAUGGGCGAAAGCCUGAUGCAGCGACGCCGCGUGGGGGAUGAAGCUUCUCGGAGUGUAAACCCCUUUCGACCCGGACGAAUACCUCGCAAGAGGGGUGACGGUACGGGUAUAAGAAGCCCCGGCUAACUACGUGCCAGCAGCCGCGGUAAGACGUAGGGGGCCAGCGUUGUUCGGAAUUACUGGGUGUAAAGGGUUCGUA
This 522-nucleotide ribosomal RNA is filed under the name uncultured soil bacterium. RNAcentral's name for it is "bacterial SSU rRNA". It matches the Rfam family "Bacterial small subunit ribosomal RNA", at positions 35 to 573 of the family's 1533-position model. The record is from RNAcentral.